Molecule: ribosomal RNA, 469 nt
Filed under: uncultured bacterium
Lineage: Bacteria
Description: bacterial SSU rRNA
Rfam family: Bacterial small subunit ribosomal RNA
Source: RNAcentral
ACUCCUACGGGAGGCAGCAGUGGGGAAUAUUGGACAAUGGGGGAAACCCUGAUCCAGCAAUGCCGCGUGUGUGAAGAAGGCCUGCGGGUUGUAAAGCACUUUCAGUAAGGAGGAAAAGCUCAGGGCUAAUACCUCUGAGUCUUGACGUUACUUACAGAAGAAGCACCGGCUAACUCCGUGCCAGCAGCCGCGGUAAUACGGAGGGUGCGAGCGUUAAUCGGAAUUACUGGGCGUAAAGCGCGCGUAGGCGGUUCGUUAAGUUAGCUGUGAAAGCCCCGGGCUUAACCUGGGAAUUGCAGUUAAUACUGGCGAACUAGAGUUUGGGAGAGGAAAGUGGAAUUCCGGGUGUAGCGGUGAAAUGCGUAGAUAUCCGGAGGAACACCAGUGGCGAAGGCGACUUUCUGGCCCAAAACUGACGCUGAGGUGCGAAAGCGUGGGGAGCAAACAGGAUUAGAAACCCUAGUAGUCC